RNAcentral lists this long non-coding RNA (346 nucleotides) under Cotesia glomerata. RNAcentral describes it as "uncharacterized LOC123268128". Lineage: Eukaryota; Metazoa; Arthropoda; Insecta; Hymenoptera; Braconidae. The record is from RNAcentral.
AUCAAGUGAUUUUAUAACCUCAAAACUACUUAACACGUGACACGAGCUUCCAAUAACAACGGAUUUUGUGUUUGAGCAAUGCCAAGAAAACGCAAAGGGGCUGAUUUGAGCCGCAGUACAAGUAAAGCUCGAAACUGGCAAAAUAGCAGAUCCGAAAGAACAGAAGAACAAAUUUAGCAACAAAAUACUGAUGCAUGUGUCAGAAUGGCGCAAUUGCAUCAAGAAGAGCCAGAAGAUACACGAGCUGAACGCAAUGAAGUCAGAAGAUUAGAACAACGACAAUCACGCCGUUUCACAGUCAAUAGACGAAGAACAAAUGACCAACAACGACAACAGGUACAUCGAG